CGGGGUGUAGCGCAGUUGGCAGCGCGCUGCGUUUGGGACGCAGAAGUCGGCGGUUCAAGUCCGCCCACCCCGACUA
Molecule: transfer RNA, 76 nt
Filed under: Anaerolinea sp.
Lineage: Bacteria; Bacillati; Chloroflexota; Anaerolineae; Anaerolineales; Anaerolineaceae
Description: tRNA-Pro
Rfam family: tRNA
About the family: Transfer RNA (tRNA) molecules are approximately 80 nucleotides in length. Their secondary structure includes four short double-helical elements and three loops (D, anti-codon, and T loops).
Source: RNAcentral